GUCAGGGUAACUUAGUUGGUAGAGCAGAGGAUUGAAAAUCCUUGUGUCACUAGUUCAAAUAUGGUUCCUGGCA
RNAcentral lists this transfer RNA (73 nucleotides) under Hordeum vulgare subsp. vulgare (domesticated barley). It matches the Rfam family "tRNA". Rfam says of the family: Transfer RNA (tRNA) molecules are approximately 80 nucleotides in length. Lineage: Eukaryota; Viridiplantae; Streptophyta; Magnoliopsida; Poales; Poaceae. The record is from Rfam by way of RNAcentral.